UGGCAACCACCAACUGACAAGAGUAACAUAAAAAAAAAACUUAUAUAGCAGUAAAAGUCAGGGAAAAAAAAGAUGGCAAUGGCAGUCAUGGAGUAAUUUCCAGACAAACCAAAAAUGAUGUUUUCAACCGCCAAACCAAACAUUGUGAAGGACCAUGUUUCAUUUGCUUUGCAAAUCCUUGAAUUAUCAGCUUUUGACAUGGACCACAACUGUGCAAUGUGCUCAGUAUCCAAACCACCAAUGCCGGGGACGGCUGUCACUGACUGGAUUCAGUGUGACUCAUGCAUUCGGUGGUACAAUUUACAAUGCAUGAACAUGGAUCCUGCAGAGGUGCCAGAAAGGGCAAAAACAGCGAGGGACUGCCCGUUGUGUCACUAACAAAAUUGUUCAUUGUUUUCAGGUUUUGAAGUUGUUGGUUAGUUAGAUUUAGAUAAUUUUUGGUUUUGAUAACUGUUCUGUUUUUAUUAAUAAAUUUCCGUUU
Long non-coding RNA from Girardinichthys multiradiatus, 481 nucleotides. RefSeq lists it as uncharacterized. The record is from RefSeq and is a predicted model, not a curated record. Lineage: Eukaryota; Metazoa; Chordata; Actinopteri; Cyprinodontiformes; Goodeidae. The transcript has 4 exons.